CUGAGACACGGCCCAGACUCCUACGGGAGGCAGCAGUGGGGAAUAUUGCACAAUGGGCGAAAGCCUGAUGCAGCGACGCCGCGUGAGGGAUGACGGCCUUCGGGUUGUAAACCUCUUUCAGCAGGGAAGAAGCGAAAGUGACGGUACCUGCAGAAGAAGCGCCGGCUAACUACGUGCCAGCAGCCGCGGUAAUACGUAGGGCGCGAGCGUUGUCCGGAAUUAUUGGGCGUAAAGAGCUCGUAGGCGGCUUGUCACGUCGGUUGUGAAAGCCCGGGGCUUAACCCCGGGUCUGCAGUCGAUACGGGCAGGCUAGAGUUCGGUAGGGGAGAUCGGAAUUCCUGGUGUAGCGGUGAAAUGCGCAGAUAUCAGGAGGAACACCGGUGGCGAAGGCGGAUCUCUGGGCCGAUACUGACGCUGAGGAGCGAAAGCGUGGGGAGCGAACAGGAUUAGAUACCCUGGUAGUCCACGCCGUAAACGGUGGGCACUAGGUGUGGGCGACAUUCCACGUCGUCCGUGCCGCAGCUAACGCAUUAAGUGCC
Molecule: ribosomal RNA, 539 nt
Filed under: Bacillus sp. (in: firmicutes)
Lineage: Bacteria; Bacillati; Bacillota; Bacilli; Caryophanales; Bacillaceae
Description: bacterial SSU rRNA
Rfam family: Bacterial small subunit ribosomal RNA
Source: RNAcentral